Long non-coding RNA from Meriones unguiculatus (Mongolian gerbil), 1767 nucleotides. RefSeq lists it as uncharacterized. The transcript has 2 exons. NCBI's taxonomy places the organism in Eukaryota, Metazoa, Chordata, Mammalia, Rodentia, Muridae. The record is from RefSeq and is a predicted model, not a curated record.
CUGCACCCGGAGAUACACAGCCUCUGCCCUUACCAGUUCAAGAUGAGGAAGCAGCGGCUAACUCGACUGAGCGAAGAGCGUGGCCGGCAGGAAGCACACUUACCCUCUGGAAUAGCCACCGCUCUGAUACAGGAAUCCAGGCUUGCUCCUCACCCAGGCCAUUCUCUGUCAUGUUAGGACCAUCAGACUCCAGGCCUCCAUCCAUGACAGUCCGGUCUUCAUCAGUGCGGCGGCGGCGGGAACGGCGACGGCGGGCACUUGCUGGAGGGGGUUCACCAGGCUCUGAAUCAACUGGGGGCUCUGGUUCUGAUGUGUCCAAUAGGCUGUAAGGAUUGCUGUCUGGAUCCUUUAGCACUGACGAGAGGAAGGAAGAGGCUGGGAGUCAGGGGACCACUAUUCUCUCCUUUGGACCACAAAUCUGACCCCAGCUCUCUACCUGAGCUAAUAGAGGACGAGUUAUAUCUUGAGGUAGGCCGGGGAACAGGUGGGGGUCCCCUUCCCCGGCCCCCAAUCGGCCGCCUCCGGCUUUCUUCUCCACGACUUGGGUGAUCUCGGUCACCAGGUCCUGCUCGAUUAGACUCCUCUCUUUUUUCUGACUCUGUCUCAGAAGCUGUGGAUGGGUCUGAGCUGGGGCCUGAAGGAUACAGAAGAGUUUAUUCGGAGCUGCUGCUGCUUGCCCUAGGAAUUCAGCCACCUCCACAGGCAAACCAGAAUUCUUCCUAUCACUCACAAGCACCCAAGUCAGUCACUUCCUCACUGCUUUUCCCAGUCUCCACCCAAUCACCCGUGCCCCACACUGCUCCACAGCUGCUCACCAUAGGCAGCACCAGCAGUCCUCCGGCCCCGGCCUCGGCCCCCGUAGCUGCCCCCGUAGGUUCUGGUCGCAUGCAGGGAGGAGGAGGAGCUCUCAUCUGUGGUAUAGCCGGCCUUGUCACUGCCACCACCACUGCCGCCCCGUCCACUUCCAGGUGGGCGAAAGCCCAGCCCAAUCUGCCGAAGCUGCUCAUCAAUUUGCAGUCUCUCCAAGCGAAGCUGUUCAACCUCCUGGUUGGAAAGGUGGACAACAGGAAAAUUAAGACAAUGGACAGUCCCAUUCCUUCAUGCGUCUCUAUCCAUGUGGUCCUCUGCAGCUAAGCUUUUGGGACUUAGGCUUAGGAAGACAAAGGCUUAAAAAGAACAUUUUGGGAUACAGCCCCAGAGCCAAAAUACCCACCAACAGACAGGGCAGCCAAAGCUUAUACUUAUACAGUCAAAGCUUAUACAGCAAGCUUUGCCAGCCCAGUUUACCCGUCUCCCAGGUUUCUGAAACAGUACCUGCAGGUAGGAAAGGUGAUACUCUAGCAGGGCCUGGGCAUUACUGAUGUUCUCUCGGGUGCCAACAAAUAUGAAGGGAACCAUUCCCUGCAGAAAAGACCAGAAGCAAGCUUAGAAGUCAGUAAGGUGUGAAGACACACGUGACCUUAGCACGCAGGAACUAGACACAGGAGCAGAAUGAACUUAAAGCCAUCCCUAGCUACUCAGUAAAGUGAAGUUCAACCUGAGCCACGUGAGAUUCUGUCUCAAAAAUUACUACCUCCCACUUUCAAAGACAGGCGUGGUGGCGCAUACUUUUAGCCCCACACUGGGGAGGCUGAGGUAGGCAGGUCUCUGUCAACUGAGUUUAAGGCCGGCCUGGUUCACAAAGUAAGUUCCAGGCAAGUCAGGGCUAUAUAUUGAGUCCCUAUUUGGAAAAAAAAAAAAAAAAAAAACAACAAAGAAAACCAAAAA